Molecule: ribosomal RNA, 253 nt
Filed under: uncultured bacterium
Lineage: Bacteria
Description: partial 16S ribosomal RNA
Rfam family: Bacterial small subunit ribosomal RNA
Source: RNAcentral
GACGUAGGUCCCGAGCGUUGCCCGGAUUUACUGGGCGUAAAGUGCGCGUAGGCGGUUCGGCAAGUCGUCCGUGAAAGCCCGGGGCUCAACCCCGGGAGGCCGGGCGAGACUGCCGGGAUAGAGGACGGCGGAGGAGGGUGGAGCGGCCGGAGUAGCGGUGAAAUGGGUAGAUACCGGCCGAAAGCCCGAUGGCGAAGGCAACCCUCUGGGCCGUUCCUGACGCUGAGGCGCGAAAGCGUGGGGAGCUAACCGG